AUUGAACGCUGGCGGCAGGCCUAACACAUGCAAGUCGAGCGGAUGAAGGGAGCUUGCUCCUGGAUUCAGCGGCGGACGGGUGAGUAAUGCCUAGGAAUCUGCCUGGUAGUGGGGGAUAACGUCCGGAAACGGGCGCUAAUACCGCAUACGUCCUGAGGGAGAAAGUGGGGGAUCUUCGGACCUCACGCUAUCAGAUGAGCCUAGGUCGGAUUAGCUAGUUGGUGGGGUAAAGGCCUACCAAGGCGACGAUCCGUAACUGGUCUGAGAGGAUGAUCAGUCACACUGACAGAGAGCCACGGUCCCGCCUCCUGCGGGAGGCCGCAGGGGGAAAUAUUGGACAAUGGGCGAAAGCCUGAUCCACCCGUGCCGUGUGUGUAAAGAGGGUCUUCGUAUUGAAAAGCUCUUUAAUUGGGGAGAAAGGACAUUAAUUUAAUCCCUUGUUUUUUUGACGUUCCCAAAAAAAAAAGCCCCGCCUCACUUCGUC
Molecule: ribosomal RNA, 484 nt
Filed under: uncultured bacterium
Lineage: Bacteria
Description: partial 16S ribosomal RNA
Rfam family: Bacterial small subunit ribosomal RNA
Source: RNAcentral